Molecule: non-coding RNA, 30 nt
Filed under: Rattus norvegicus (Norway rat)
Lineage: Eukaryota; Metazoa; Chordata; Mammalia; Rodentia; Muridae
Source: RNAcentral
UGGAUUAAACUGCCCGGAAAUUAUUGAGGU